CCUACGGGAGGCUGCAGUGGGGAAUAUUGGGCAAUGGGCGCAAGCCUGACCCAGCAACGCCGCGUGAAGGAAGAAGGCUUUCGGGUUGUAAACUUCUUUUCUCAGGGACGAAGAAAGUGACGGUACCUGAGGAAUAAGCCACGGCUAACUACGUGCCAGCAGCCGCGGUAAUACGUAGGUGGCAAGCGUUAUCCGGAUUUAUUGGGUGUAAAGGGCGUGUAGGCGGGAGCGCAAGUCAGGUGUGGAAACUCAGGGCUCAACCCGGAGCCUGCAUUUGAAACUGUGUUUCUUGAGUGCUGGAGAGGCGAUGGGAAGUGGGGGGGGAGCGGGG
Molecule: ribosomal RNA, 331 nt
Filed under: uncultured bacterium
Lineage: Bacteria
Description: partial 16S ribosomal RNA
Rfam family: Bacterial small subunit ribosomal RNA
Source: RNAcentral